Molecule: small nuclear RNA, 165 nt
Filed under: Zalophus californianus (California sea lion)
Lineage: Eukaryota; Metazoa; Chordata; Mammalia; Carnivora; Otariidae
Description: U4 spliceosomal RNA (ENSZCAG00015001749.1)
Rfam family: U4 spliceosomal RNA (bases 1-131)
About the family: U4 small nuclear RNA (U4 snRNA) is a component of the major U2-dependent spliceosome.
Source: RNAcentral
AGCUUUGCGCAGUGGCAGUAUCGUAGCCAAUGAGGUUUAUCCGAGGCGCGAUUAUUGCUAAUUGUAAACAUUUUUUUAUAUGAAAAACAACUGAAAGCCAUGUCUCUAAAUAUGAGAUCCUUCUUUAUAGGUUUAUGAGGUUUCUCUAAUUUCAAAGUAUUCUUU